UACAGAGGUCCCAAGCGUUGUUCGGGUUCACUGGGCGUAAAGGGUGCGUAGGUGGUUGGGUAAGUUUGAUGUGAAAUCUCUGAGCUCAACUCAGAAACUGCAUUGAAUACUAUCCGGCUAGAGAAUCGGAGGGGGGACUGGAAUACUUGGUGUAGCAGUGAAAUGCGUAGAUAUCAAGUGGAACACCAGUGGCGAAGGCGAGUCCCUGGACGAUUUCUGACACUGAGGCACGAAAGCUAGGGGAGCAAACAGG
This 253-nucleotide ribosomal RNA is filed under the name uncultured bacterium. Its description in RNAcentral is "partial 16S ribosomal RNA". It matches the Rfam family "Bacterial small subunit ribosomal RNA", at positions 524 to 776 of the family's 1533-position model. The record is from RNAcentral.